CAUGUUCUAAAGGAAAUGCAGAAUUGGAUUAUCUGUGCCUCAAUCUACGCUGAGGUGAAGAACCCCUGAGUUCGUACUACUUCAAUUAACUUCCUGGCAAGAAAGAAUGCCAAGAGAAAUACAGUGAUGUAACUCCAUUAAGGAUCCCUCAGUGUCAGGAAAUGUUAUCUGAGAAAUGGAAAAGAAGCAUUGUUAUCCCAACUUCUUGCAUAGUGGGAAGUACUGCAGAAGAAAGCUACGGAAUAGAGCAAGUCAGGAUGAUUCUGCUAGUUCCCCUGGCUGGAUUUGAAAGUAUCUCACAGACAGUGCCCACAGGCACUGAGCUGGCUGAAGGUACAGUCAGCGGACAUGGAGCAAGAACUGAGGGUAUGCUUAAACUUGCGGACACCGCUGUUAUCACACAUAACAUCAUACCCCACGGAAG
RNAcentral lists this long non-coding RNA (424 nucleotides) under Struthio camelus australis. RNAcentral describes it as "lncRNA (ENSSCUG00000009897.1)". The record is from RNAcentral. Lineage: Eukaryota; Metazoa; Chordata; Aves; Struthioniformes; Struthionidae.